Molecule: ribosomal RNA, 467 nt
Filed under: uncultured bacterium
Lineage: Bacteria
Description: partial 16S ribosomal RNA
Rfam family: Bacterial small subunit ribosomal RNA
Source: RNAcentral
GAUGAACGCUGGCGGCGCGCCUAACACAUGCAAGUCGAACGAUUAAAGCACCUUCGGGUGUGUAUAAAGUGGCGAACGGCUGAGUAACACGUGGGCAACCUGCCCCUCUCAUUGGGAUAGCCACGGGAAACCGUGGAUAAUACCGAAUACUUCGGGACUUCCGCAUGGAAGACUCGAGAAAGCUCCGGCGGAGAGGGAUGGGCCCGCGGCCUGUUAGCUUGUUGGUGGGGUAAUGGCCUACCAAGGCAAUGAUGGGUAGCUGGGUUGAGAGACCGACCAGCCAGAUUGGGACUGAGACACGGCCCAGACUCCUACGGGAGGCAGCAGUGGGGAAUCUUGCACAAUGGGCGCAAGCCUGAUGCAGCGACGCCGCGUGCGGGAUGAAGGCCUUCGGGUUGUAAACCGCUUUCAGCAGGGACGAGGCGAAAGUGACGGUACCUGCAGAAGAAGCCCCGGCUAACUACGUG